RNA transcript from Fragaria vesca subsp. vesca, 1248 nucleotides. RefSeq lists it as uncharacterized. The record is from RefSeq and is a predicted model, not a curated record. NCBI's taxonomy places the organism in Eukaryota, Viridiplantae, Streptophyta, Magnoliopsida, Rosales, Rosaceae. The transcript has 9 exons.
GUCUCAAAAAAUCUAAUUCCUCUCUUCAAACUGAUUUCGCCCAUCUUUACUUCGUCGUUCCUCUUCCUAUUUCUCUACUUUCAAUCUCUAAUUUGUCUACUUCCUCAGUCAUACCUUCCUCAAAGAACAGAACUCUCAGUUAAAGAAGUCUCAGUCAGCCCUCUUGGUUUCGUCUCCUCCCACUCAGACCCUCACGAUUACAACUAAUUGAAGAAACUGGGUUCGAAUCUGAUUGGGUUCGAAUCUGAUAAGUCAACUGUUUGCAGGUAUUGAAGUACUUAGUUGCUAGUGGUAUGCUGCAGAUCUUGGGAAGGAAUUCUUGACCAGUUGGUCCUUUUGGUACUAAGGAAGCGCCUUAGAGUGCGCCUCAUAUAGUCAAGUCCUACUAUGACAAAAGAAUAGUUUGACGCACUGGUCUUGAAGGAGGGGUUCUAGUUCUAAAAUAGAAAGCUGCAAAACAUUAUGAAUGACGAGACAAAAAUGUUGUUCACUCAAUAAGGAAAAUAUGUGGACUUUGUACACUGUACUUGCAGUUUAGUGAUGGAAGGAGAGAGAGAGAGAGGAGAGCAUUAACUUAUAUUAUGAAGGCACACUAAACUCAUCUCAAGUUGAAGAACUCGCCCUGAAGUUGCAACCUCUUGUCUGAAGAUUGACUCAUCUCAAAUUGGGUUUCAAAACCACUUACCUCAUAGGCAAUCCAAUCAAGCUGGCUGGACCUGCCCCUUCUAAACAUGACCUUAUAGCCAAAAUCACUGAAGAGGUAACAAAGAAAUUGAAAGAGUCUUUCGAUAAGAAAUUGGAGGAUGCUAUUAAAAUGCUUCAAGCUCAGAUUGCCAAUAAUAUAGAUUGCACAAUUGCACAUGGGGAAGAAACACAAUUGCACAUGGACUGGUACCAGUUGAUGCAACAAGUGGCCAUGAGGCUAGGAGAGAGUCCAUAGGAGAGGGAGAUGUUGAGGCCACUGCCCAUUUUGAUUCAAAUUAUGAUGAUGUCGCUGGUCACCAUGAAGCUCCUGCAUGAUUUAGGUUUAUGUCAUAUUGUUGUGUUUUAGAAUGUGAUAAAACAUGAUUAUGUUGGAAUAUUGUUGUCCCUUUAUGAAGCUCUUUUUAUUGUUGUAGCACUUUGUUGGUUAGGUUUAGGUUCCAUCAUGUGGAAUAAUGUUUAUGUUAGAUAAUUUGGUUAUGAAAUGAAUGUAGGUCAUUGUGUUGAUUUUGUUGGAAUAAAUGCUAGUUGAUGGUGGUGUUAGUA